CCUACGGGCGGCAGCAGUGAGGCAUAUUGGUCAAUGUACGAGAGUCUGAACCCGCCAAGUAUCGUGAAGGAUGACUGCCCUAUGGGUUGUAAACUUCUUUUAUUUGGGAAUAAAACAGGGUAUGCAUACCCUCUUGUAUGUACCAUAUGAAUAAGGAUCGGCUAACUCCGUGCCAGCAGCCGCGGUAAUACGGAGGAUCCGAGCGUUAUCCGGAUUUAUUGGGUUUAAAGGGAGCGUAGGUGGAUUGUUAAGUCAGUUGUGAAAGUUUGCGGCUCAACCGUAAAAUUGCAGUUGAAACUGGCAGUCUUGAGUACAGUAGAGGUGGGCGGAAUUCGUGGUGUAGAGGUGAAAUGCUUAGAUAUCACGAAGAACUCCGAUUGCGAAGGCAGCUCACUGGACUGCAACUGACACUGAUGCUCGAAAGUGUGGGUAGCAAACAGGAUUAGAGACCCGAGUAGUC
RNAcentral lists this ribosomal RNA (460 nucleotides) under uncultured bacterium. RNAcentral describes it as "partial 16S ribosomal RNA". It matches the Rfam family "Bacterial small subunit ribosomal RNA", at positions 338 to 795 of the family's 1533-position model. The record is from RNAcentral.